RNAcentral lists this ribosomal RNA (840 nucleotides) under uncultured bacterium. RNAcentral describes it as "bacterial SSU rRNA". It matches the Rfam family "Bacterial small subunit ribosomal RNA", at positions 62 to 911 of the family's 1533-position model. The record is from RNAcentral.
UCGAACGGACUCAUAUUGAAACCUAGUGAUUUAUGAGUUAGUGGCGGACGGUUUGAGUAACGCGUGGAUAACCUGCCGUAUACCGGGGGAUAACACUUAGAAAUAGGUGCUAAUACCGCAUAAGCGCACGGCUCCGCAUGGGGCAGUGUGAAAAACUCCGGUGGUAUACGAUGGAUCCGCGUCUGAUUAGCUAGUUGGCGGGGUAACGGCCCACCAAGGCAGCGAUCAGUAGCCGGCCUGAGAGGGUGGACGGCCACAUUGGGACUGAGACACGGCCCAAACUCCUACGGGAGGCAGCAGUGGGGAAUAUUGCACAAUGGGGGAAACCCUGAUGCAGCGACGCCGCGUGAGUGAAGAAGUAUCUCGGUACGUAAAGCUCUAUCAGCAGGGAAGAAAAUGACGGUACCUGACCAAGAAGCCCCGGCUAACUACGUGCCAGCAGCCGCGGUAAUACGUAGGGGGCAAGCGUUAUCCGGAUUUACUGGGUGUAAAGGGAGCGUAGACGGCAGCACAAGUCUGGAGUGAAAUCCCGGGGCUUAACCCCGGAACUGCUUUGGAAACUGUGCGGCUGGAGUGCAGGAGGGGUAAGCGGAAUUCCUAGUGUAGCGGUGAAAUGCGUAGAUAUUAGGAGGAACACCGGUGGCGAAGGCGGCUUACUGGACUGUAACUGACGUUGAGGCUCGAAAGCGUGGGGAGCAAACAGGAUUAGAUACCCUGGUAGUCCACGCCGUAAACGAUGAUUACUAGGUGUCGGGGGACCAAGGUCCUCCGGUGCCGGCGCAAACGCAUUAAGUAAUCCACCUGGGGAGUACGUUCGCAAGAAUGAAACUCAAAGGAAUU